This is a long non-coding RNA of Mesocricetus auratus (golden hamster), 550 nucleotides long. RefSeq lists it as uncharacterized. The transcript has 4 exons. Lineage: Eukaryota; Metazoa; Chordata; Mammalia; Rodentia; Cricetidae. The record is from RefSeq and is a predicted model, not a curated record.
CUAAAAAUGGGGUAUCUAGUUUUAAAAAACAUCAGGUUGAGAGAAGCACUUUUUUCCCACAUGAACAAAAAUUUAACUCCAAGAAUACCACUGGUUGUUAAAGAUAAGUACAGCUUCCACCCCCAUCAAAAAAAAAGCUUCUUUUAGCAGCCGGAUACCAUUACUGAAAUAUUCUUGUCUACUGCAUUGAAAGUCUAAUGGAUUAAAGUUCUACCUCAGCAUAACCAAGGCUUGACGUGUCCAGAAACUCAGUACUCUGACUCUCCACCUUGCAUUUAUUUUAACAAAAGUUUCCAUCAAAUCCAAGAAAGUAUAGACAGAAAAUCAAGAAAAAUAAAUGCUGUUGUUCAAUUUUAUACUGGGGUAAAUGAACCACCAUCUUUGCUGUAAAGAUUGUACCAACUAUAUCAUCAGCCCUGUCUAUGCAGAAGAGGAAAGAAUAUGUAAUUAUAUUCAGAAGCAAACCAGAAAACAAUGGCUUCUGCUCUUUUGCUUUUUUUACUAAUGUAUGCCCACUUUAGACAGACAUCAGUUUAUUCUCUAAAUGAAU